GACGAACGCUGGCGGCGUGCUUAACACAUGCAAGUCGAACGCUGAAGCCCAGCUUGCUGGGUGGAUGAGUGGCGAACGGGUGAGUAACACGUGAGUAACCUGCCCCCUUCUUUGGGAUAACGCCCGGAAACGGGUGCUAAUACUGGAUAUUCACUGGCCUUCGCAUGGGGGUUGGUGGAAAGGUUUUUUCUGGUGGGGGAUGGGCUCGCGGCCUAUCAGCUUGUUGGUGGGGUGAUGGCCUACCAAGGCUUUGACGGGUAGCCGGCCUGAGAGGGUGACCGGUCACAUUGGGACUGAGAUACGGCCCAGACUCCUACGGGAGGCAGCAGUGGGGAAUAUUGCACAAUGGGCGAAAGCCUGAUGCAGCGACGCCGCGUGAGGGAUGACGGCCUUCGGGUUGUAAACCUCUUUCGCUCAUGGUCAAGCCGCGGCUUUGGGUUGUGGUGAGGGUAGUGGGUAAAGAAGCGCCGGCUAACUACGUGCCAGCAGCCGCGGUAAUACGUAGGGCGCGAGCGUUGUCCGGAAUUAUUGGGCGUAAAGGGCUUGUAGGCGGUUGGUCGCCUCUGCCGUGAAAAUCCUCUGACUUAACUGGGGGCGUGCGGUGGGUACGGGCUGACUUUAGUGCGGUAGGGGAGACUGGAACUUCUGGUGUGGCUGUGGAAUGCGCCGAUAUAACGAAGAACACC
Molecule: ribosomal RNA, 686 nt
Filed under: uncultured Actinomyces sp.
Lineage: Bacteria; Bacillati; Actinomycetota; Actinomycetes; Actinomycetales; Actinomycetaceae
Description: bacterial SSU rRNA
Rfam family: Bacterial small subunit ribosomal RNA
Source: RNAcentral